Molecule: long non-coding RNA, 1525 nt
Organism: Triticum aestivum (bread wheat)
Lineage: Eukaryota; Viridiplantae; Streptophyta; Magnoliopsida; Poales; Poaceae
Exons: 3
Source: RefSeq, a predicted model, not a curated record
UCCGUAAUUCUGUAUCCCUUUGUAAAGAGAGAACAGCGAAAGAGUGGACGAGCUCGCGUGCUCCUGCUAUUGUAGACCAAUGGUACAAGGGCGGGUGGAGACGGCAAUUAUGGCUCAUGGAAAUACUGGUGUGGGUCCCUGCAGUAGAGGCGACGGAGUUAGGCGUCACCGUGACGAGUCGAGGAUGGUGUACCGUUGGUACCUGAUCGAUUCAGGUACCUGCGCCGGUAUGCGCAACGGCGUCGAUUGCCGGGAAACGCUGGACAGACGAGUGUGUUGACCCAAAAGCACCUCAGAUCCCAUGGCGAUCUUGGCGGCGGAUGGGGGCGGCUUCGAGUUCCUCUCAGAUCCCGUCGACAGGUUCCGAUUCUGGCGAUGGAUGAGACUGUGUGCUCGUCGCCCAAUCGACAUGUGCUAGAUCUGGUGGAAGUAGCCGGCGAAUGCAUCGUACACGAGGUGGCUGAUGGCGGACGCUGCUUCAGCUCUAUAUGCUGAAUGGCUUCGACGGCAGAGUCCGAACAAUCUACUAGCAAAGACGACCCAGAGACUCCGGGCUGCACAAAAGACCAGUGUCGAGCAAAUGGAGGCUGCAAUACAGAAAGUCAUGCAAGAUGUGACACACCAGUGAUGCAAAUUGCAUGUGUUGAAGAAGACGGAAGAGUGUCUUGGGCCUCCGUAGACAAAGAGAAUCAAUUUCAGAGAUGAUUUCCAUAAGAUAGGUCAUCGCAUGCUGACGGUUGACGAGUUCGAGAAAGCAUGAGCAGACCUGAUGGAUGCGUACAAAUUGCAGAAGAACACAUACUUGACUCAGUUGUACGAAGUCGGAAGAAGUGGGAAGAGCCUUCAAAGGUAAAUUUUGUGCCAAGAUGACGCGCACUCAAUGGAGUGAGAGUGCUAAUCAUAUGCUGAAAGCAUAUGUGCCAGUGAGCUGCCAUAUGCAUCUGUUUGUUCAGCAGUACAUGACUCUGUUAUUCAAUCGUGAGGCAAGCGGGAACUAUGAAGAAAGGUGGACAAAUAUAAGUUUUUUUGCCAGAAGAUUAACUGUUUUUAUGAGUUUGACGUUCGGAUACUAUAUUGAUGUCUCUGAUCUUACUAGACGACCCCGGUAAUGAAGAUGAAUACCCCACUGGAGCUGCAUGCAAGCAAUGUUCUGUAUGAGGCAGGUAUUGACCCCGGUAUUGACCUUGAUAUGUUCUGUAUGAGGCAGGUAUUGACCUUGCAAGAUGAAUACCCCUUGCUAUGUUCGAGAAAUUUGGUGAGAUUCUGUAUGAGGCAGGCCAAUACAAGGUUGAUGAGGUCGAGAAAGGUGUGAAGUAUUUGGCUCGGAGAUACCACCGAAAGAAGCACGAAAAGUGGGGCAGAGUGGUAUAUGAAGUUCAAGUGCUGAAUCAGGGUAUGGAGAUAGCAUGCGAAUGUGGAAAAUUUGAACAUAUAGGAUUGUCAUCCUGUGAAGGUAGAAUUGUUUAGUUCAGUUUCCAAGGUUAUGAUGUACUGCAAAAACAUACUCAUGACUCUGCGAUGUUCA